CCCUUAGAUGUUCUGGGCCGCACGCGCGCUACACUGAUGCAUUCAACGAGUCUAAAACCUGCUCUGAUAGGGGUGGGUAAUCUUUUGAAUGUGCAUCGUGAUUGGGAUAGAUGAUUGCAAUUUUUCAUCUUCAACGAGGAAUGCCUAGUAAACGCAAGUCAUCAGCUUGCAUUGAUUACGUCCCUGCCCUUUGUACACACCGCCCGUCGCUCCUACCGAUUGAAUGAUCCGAUGAAUAUCAUGGAUUGAGGAUGCAAGCAGGUUCGCCUGUCUUCAUCUUCGAGAAGUUAAGUAAAUCUUAUCAUUUAGAGGAAGGAGAAGUCGUAACA
RNAcentral lists this ribosomal RNA (329 nucleotides) under uncultured eukaryote. RNAcentral describes it as "partial 18S ribosomal RNA". It matches the Rfam family "Eukaryotic small subunit ribosomal RNA", at positions 1470 to 1796 of the family's 1831-position model. The record is from RNAcentral.